RNAcentral lists this ribosomal RNA (253 nucleotides) under uncultured bacterium. RNAcentral's name for it is "partial 16S ribosomal RNA". It matches the Rfam family "Bacterial small subunit ribosomal RNA", at positions 524 to 776 of the family's 1533-position model. The record is from RNAcentral.
UACGUAGGGGGCAAGCGUUGUCCGGAAUUAUUGGGCGUAAAGAGCUCGUAGGCGGUUUGUUGCGUCGGCUGUGAAAUCCCGAGGCUCAACCUCGGGUCUGCAGUCGAUACGAGCAAACUAGAGUGUUGCAGGGGAGACUGGAAUUCCUGGUGUAGCGGUGAAAUGCGCAGAUAUCAGGAAGAACACCAAUGGCGAAGGCAGCUCUCUGGGACGGUACUGACGCUGAGACGCGAAAGCGUGGGGAGCGAACAGG